UCUCCGUUGGUGAACCAGCGGAGGGAUCAUUACCGAGUUUACAACUCCCAAACCCAAUGUGAACCAUACCAGACUGUUGCCUCGGCGGGGUCACGCCCCGGGUGCGUCGCAGCCCCGGAACCAGGCGCCCGCCGGAGGGACCAACCAAACUCUUUCUGUAGUCCCCUCGCGGACGUUACUUUACAGCUCUGAGCAAAAAUUCAAAAUGAAUCAAAACUUUCAACAACGGAUCUCUUGGUUCUG
Molecule: unclassified non-coding RNA, 243 nt
Filed under: plant metagenome
Description: partial contains small subunit ribosomal RNA, internal transcribed spacer 1, and 5.8S ribosomal RNA
Source: RNAcentral